Molecule: small RNA, 351 nt
Filed under: Arabidopsis thaliana (thale cress)
Lineage: Eukaryota; Viridiplantae; Streptophyta; Magnoliopsida; Brassicales; Brassicaceae
Description: ATSL149750
Source: RNAcentral
UAUAGAUAAAACUAAAAUCACUUUGAACCACCAAUAUUUAACGAAAUUCUUUCCCAUACGGCCAACACUUAGCCAAAAAAAUAAGGAAAAGCUCAAAUUAAAAAUCAAACCCUAAUUUCUAUAUCUCUUAUGCAUCCUCUUUCUCAGGUUUACCUCUUCACUCUCUUUCUCGAUUCAUCCUUUUUACAAAGAUUACUUUCUUCUCCUUAACUCUCUUUUAUCCCUUUAGUCUCUUCCUGCGAUUAUACACCCUGGAUCUAAUAUUGGAUUUUAUCAAUUUCUAUCACUCUUUGUCACUCUCGCUCUCAUUUCCAAAUUCUUCUUCUUCUUAAAUUCUACAGAUUCUUUUUU